CUAAACUGGCGCCGCCUCGGUGCUCGCGCGUGCAACGCGCGGUUAAACGGGAAGCAGGGCGCGGGCUCCGCCAGGACGCCGCCAACCUGCGCUGCCCCCGCAACGGUAAGCGGCCGCGUUGCAUGACGCAGGCCGGCUCGGGCGCGUUCCGCAUGCACGUUGCGCAUGCGGACGCGGGCCACUGCGCGUCUUCGCGCGGGAAGGCGAGCCGGAUCGCCGCCAGCCCGGAUACCGGCCGAGGCGGGGAGCCCGCAC
This 255-nucleotide non-coding RNA is filed under the name Burkholderia cepacia. Lineage: Bacteria; Pseudomonadati; Pseudomonadota; Betaproteobacteria; Burkholderiales; Burkholderiaceae. The record is from RNAcentral.